Molecule: ribosomal RNA, 465 nt
Filed under: uncultured bacterium
Lineage: Bacteria
Description: partial 16S ribosomal RNA
Rfam family: Bacterial small subunit ribosomal RNA
Source: RNAcentral
GACGAACGCUGGCGGCGUGCUUAACACAUGCAAGUCGAACGGAAAGGCCCCUUUGGGGGUACUCGAGUGGCGAACGGGUGAGUAACACGUGAGUAACCUGCCCUUGACUUCGGGAUAACUUCAGGAAACUGGGGCUAAUACCGGAUAGGAAUCCUUGCUGCAUGGUGGGGGUUGGAAAGCUUCGGCGGUUUUGGAUGGACUCGCGGCUUAUCAGCUUGUUGGUGGGGUAGUGGCUUACCUAGGCUUUGACGGGUAGCCGGCCUGAGAGGGCGACCGGCCACAGUGGGACUGGGAUUCGGCCCAGACUCCGACGGGAGGCAGCAGGGGGGAAUAUUGCACAAUGGGCGGGAGCCUGAUGCAGCAACGCCGCGGGCGGGAUGACGGCCUUCGGGUUGUAAACCGCUUUCAGCAGGGGCGAAGCUGGUAGUGACGGUACCUGCAGAAGAAGCACCGGCUAACUACGUG